This 255-nucleotide ribosomal RNA is filed under the name uncultured bacterium. RNAcentral's name for it is "partial 16S ribosomal RNA". It matches the Rfam family "Bacterial small subunit ribosomal RNA", at positions 524 to 776 of the family's 1533-position model. The record is from RNAcentral.
UACAGAGGGUGCAAACGUUGUUCGGAAUUACUGGGCGUAAAGCGUGUGUAGGCGGCCUCGUAGGUCGGAUGUGAAAGCUCUCGGCUCAACCCAGGAACUGCACUCGAAACUGCCUUUCUUGAGUGCCGGAGAGGAAAGCGGAAUACCUGGUGUAGAGGUGAAAUUCGUAGAUAUCAGGUGGAACACCAGUGGCGAAGGCGGCUUUCUGGACGGUAACUGACGCUGGAGAACGCGAAAGCGUGGGGAGCAAACAGG